CUGGGACCUCCCUGCGCCCACCUGGACUCCUGGCUACAGCACUGUGAGAUAACAAGGCCCUGUUGUUUGAAACGGCUAAGUUUACGGUGACUUGUUACCGCAGCAACGGAAGAUACAAGGUGAUGCCACAACACAAAAGAAGGGACAAAGUCAAUAAAAAUCAAACAAAGAACCCAAGCAGAAGCGUAAUCUUGCAACAGGCGAGAGCUGCACCCGGAAGCAAGGAUGGAACGGGAGCGGCCCCAUUGAUCAAUGGCCUCCCGAGAACUGCCGAGAACAUCAAUUGAGACAGAAGCGCUUCAGGUGUGGCCCCUGGACCAGCAGCAUCCACCUCACCUGGGAACAUGUUGGAAAUGCAAGUUCUCCCCCUCCCCAGAUCUCCUAAAUCAGAUCCUCAGGGGCGAGGCCAGCACGCUGUGUUUGAACAAACCCUCGCACUGAUUCAGACGCAUGCUCUGCCACAGGCACAAGGUGACAGGUGUCAAGGGAACACAGAAAGACAGAGAGACGAAGGGGAGCUACUGGCAGUACCAACAGCCAAGACCUGGGGCCCUCUCCUCCUGCCUCCAGGAGGCCUGAUUUUCCCUUCCCUGCCUCCCUGCAGAAGUUCAAGGCUGUUCUUUAUGAAAGAACUUACAGGUGGCCUCAGGCCCCCUGUUGAAGGUCAUGGUAUCUUCCCUCUUGUCCUUUCCCAGUCCAGGAGCACUCGGCCGUGACCCCCGAGAGAUCCAUGCCCUGUCAUGCGCCUGCCUCUCAGCCUCUCCCCAGGCUAACUGCUGCAGUGCCAAGGAGGGCCCUGCCCUUUGCCUCUGUGCCCCCAUUGCCAGGGUUUCCUGUUCAGCUGUGAAGGGCUCCCUCGAUUGCUCCAGAGUCUGGAAUUUGGGAACACUUCAAGCAGAAAGUUUAUAAUUCACCUCCCAAUUCUUUCAGCCCUGUGAACUGCCUACUGCUUGAAAAACAAAAAACAUCAAGUGACUGCUGAUUAUGGACUAGAACAGAAAUCAUGCAAAUAUUCUUACUUUGGCUAAGUUAAAAUAGAUUCCAAGGCACAGGCUUUGGCAUGGCAGAAGCCAGGGCCCUCCAUCCAGAUUGGCUGUACCAGGUGACUUCCCUGAGCCCGCAGUUUUCUCACUGAAAAUAAUAAUAAUUGCUAUUACUGUUAUCAGCAUAAUAGCAGAAUUUGUAAGCCCUUUGUCCUUCCAGCCUCUCUCAGAGGUAGGGUGGGGCAGCAGUUCUCUCACUGCUCAUUAGAAUCCCCUGGGGAGGUUUUAAAAUGCAGAUUCCCAGGCUACACUGGGACCAAGAGAGCCCCAGGAUGGCCCAGCCGUCUGCAUUUCUUCAAGCCCUCCUCUGUCCUUGGGUGGGACUAUUGCCCACUGGCCUGUGUUUUCGUUCCUUGGAAAUGGCCCCUCAGUUUUUUUUAUGGGGACCCUACCCACUUCCCUCAGACACACGCACCUCAGGGUGUGACACAGGCCAGGUGGUCAGAGUCAACUCCAGGGGCUUGCAGGCCUUGGCCCUCACACUUGGGUUACAUAAACCACUGCAAAGAACUUAACCGAAGCCAACAUAUGGCAAAUUUUAAAACUAUUAACUUCAUUUAAGGAAAAUAAACAACAACAAUAGAGCCAGGUUGUCAUGAAUUGGAAGCAGAUGCGUGGGGCUCUUUGUAGACUGCCUGCUCCCAACAAGAUCAUCCCUCUUCCCUCCCCAUUCCCCUUCCCUGGUGCAAGCAGAGCUGCAUCCUUAAGGAGGCUGGGCUCAGCCUGCCAGAGGUGGAGAGCCUCUGGACUCAGGAACCUCCGCCUGCCUCAAUUUCCUCGUAAUCACAGAACAUCUGCUGCAUGGAGCCUGCCCUGCAUCCCUGGGGCC
RNAcentral lists this long non-coding RNA (1872 nucleotides) under Homo sapiens (human). RNAcentral describes it as "HSALNT0402106". The record is from RNAcentral. Lineage: Eukaryota; Metazoa; Chordata; Mammalia; Primates; Hominidae.